UUUGGUGAGGGGGUGAGGGCAUAAGCUUCGCAGCCAGACAGUCGUCACACGCACUCACAUACACACAUAUACAGACACACCUCCAAACAGCUGAUUUGUUGUCAUCAUCAUAAAACCGCUGAAUGGAGCAGCCCCAAAUCGUGAGAGAGGAAGAGCAAGUCAGCGCCAGAGAGCAGAGCUAUCCAAAAACUCUCUCACGAAACAACAAAAAAGUCGGAAAAAAAGCGACGACGCCAACGGCGGCUGCUGCUAUGGCAACGACCUUCCUUAUUUAUUACAAUGUGUAUGGAUUUAAGUG
RNAcentral lists this long non-coding RNA (298 nucleotides) under Drosophila guanche. Lineage: Eukaryota; Metazoa; Arthropoda; Insecta; Diptera; Drosophilidae. The record is from RNAcentral.